CUCUGCCUGUGUUUUGCCUGUAACUACUACCACGUUGGAAAAUCUGCUUUUGAUCAUCUCCCCCCAAUUUUUCCCCUUCAGUUCUCCUAAGUCUAUCCCAGUAUCCUUUAUAGAUACGUACUCCUGACUAAAGUAAUUAUGCAAUCAUAUCUCAGAAAUUCAGAAGUGGAGAUUAGGCUGUUUAGAAUGAAUUUAGCGUCUUUCAAAUGUAUGCUUACUUAUAAUAUUACAUUGAAUUAAAAUUAUAUUAAAUUAAACUAUUGGCC
Non-coding RNA from Pantherophis guttatus, 266 nucleotides. The record is from RefSeq and is a predicted model, not a curated record. NCBI's taxonomy places the organism in Eukaryota, Metazoa, Chordata, Lepidosauria, Squamata, Colubridae.